GGGCGGAAGCCUGAUGCAGCAACGCCGCGUGAGGGAUGACGGCCUUCGGGUUGUAAACCUCUUUUAGCAGGGAAGAAGCGAGAGUGACGGUACCUGCAGAAAAAGCGCCGGCUAACUACGUGCCAGCAGCCGCGGUAAUACGUAGGGCGCAAGCGUUAUCCGGAAUUAUUGGGCGUAAAGAGCUCGUAGGCGGUCUGUCGCGUCUGCUGUGAAAACCCGAGGCUCAACCUCGGGCCUGCAGUGGGUACGGGCAGACUAGAGUGCGGUAGGGGAGAUUGGAAUUCCUGGUGUAGCGGUGGAAUGCGCAGAUAUCAGGAGGAACACCGAUGGCGAAGGCAGAUCUCUGGGCCGUAACUGACGCUGAGGAGCGAAAGGGUGGGGAGCAAACAGGCUUAGAUACCCUGGUAGUCCACCCCGUAAACGUUGGGAACUAGUUGUGGGGACCUUUCCACGGUCUCCGUGACGCAGCUAACGCAUUAAGUUCCCCGCCUGGGGA
This 496-nucleotide ribosomal RNA is filed under the name Microbacterium lacusdiani. Its description in RNAcentral is "bacterial SSU rRNA". It matches the Rfam family "Bacterial small subunit ribosomal RNA", at positions 373 to 879 of the family's 1533-position model. Lineage: Bacteria; Bacillati; Actinomycetota; Actinomycetes; Micrococcales; Microbacteriaceae. The record is from RNAcentral.